Long non-coding RNA from Parus major (Great Tit), 977 nucleotides. RefSeq lists it as uncharacterized. NCBI's taxonomy places the organism in Eukaryota, Metazoa, Chordata, Aves, Passeriformes, Paridae. The record is from RefSeq and is a predicted model, not a curated record. The transcript is spliced from 5 exons.
AGACAAUAAAGAGUAUAAAUAAAAUCUGUGCCUCGUGUCUACAGCCCUGUUCCAUUUCUUUCCUCCAGUGGCAUCAAGAGUUUCCUCAAAUUUUUCCUGUGCUUGGAAAUCUUUGGGGUUUGUGUGCGAGUCUCCGAUGCUGUUAACAAUUUCAAUCUGCACCAUUAAAGCUGCAUUUUCUAACCGUCCCCUGGUAAUUGUUGCAAGGACUUAGACAGAAAAAGACCCAAACUUGUACCAAAUACCAGACUCAUUAGAACACCAAAGACUGGAACUUCAAUAAGGAGAAUUUACACUUGUUUAGAAGUCAUACAAAAAGUGGAAUUAAUUCAGUUCUUCACUUCCCCAAGUUUUGUUGGCUUCAAGGGGCUGUUCCCAAAUUACAUUGGUGUCACACUGGAAUGAGAUCAUCUCAGUUCAACCACCACUCAAAACAUCACUCUUACCCAUAAAACAUCACUGGCUUCCAACACUCUCAAAAGUACAAAAGGUUCCUUCAGCCAUGCUUCUUUUCCAAGUGGAAGACGAAAGAAAGGUACAGACAGAGAAUCCAGCACCUAAGCAUCAUAAGGCUAAAUAUUUGUUCACUUGCUUAACAUGCAGUAAGUCCUGGAGUGCUCUCUGUUUACCCAAGAGGAUUUCAGCAUAGAGGCUUGCUCCAGAAAGGUUAAAGUCAGUGAGCAAAAACCAUGUGCGUUUGGUGGACAGCAGUUCUGCAAACAUGACUGACUGAAGAAAGGCAAAAAAUACAAGUACAGCAGCAUGGCACAGCAGAAACCAGCUCAUUGGAGAUGGCAGACGGACAGAACACUAGUUGUUAUGCUUGAUUUUAUAUUUUUGCCAUUAUUUUUUUUUUUAUUAAAGAUUUAAAAAAUCAUUUGAGCAAUUUUGCCAGUGAGACUGAUUUGCAAUGCACAUAAGAUUUAAAGUCUACCUUUGGAUAACUUCAUAUUGUUUUCUGUCUUUAUUUGACUGAA